AUUACUCCUACGGGAGGCAGCAGUAGGGAAUCUUCCGCAAUGGGCGAAAGCCUGACGGAGCAAUGCCGCGUGAGUGAUGAAGGUUUUCGGAUCGUAAAGUUCUGUUGCCAGGGAAGAACGCUUGGGAGAGUAACUGCUCUCAAGGUGACGGUACCUGAGAAGAAAGCCCCGGCUAACUACGUGCCAGCAGCCGCGGUAAUAAU
Molecule: ribosomal RNA, 203 nt
Filed under: uncultured bacterium
Lineage: Bacteria
Description: partial 16S ribosomal RNA
Rfam family: Bacterial small subunit ribosomal RNA
Source: RNAcentral